RNAcentral lists this unclassified non-coding RNA (733 nucleotides) under Hevea brasiliensis (rubber tree). The record is from RNAcentral. Lineage: Eukaryota; Viridiplantae; Streptophyta; Magnoliopsida; Malpighiales; Euphorbiaceae.
AAGGAAGAUGUCUCCACGAUAGGAUCAGGAUGCGGAGGUCCAAUAGAUAGCUUGGGAGGCCGGUAGUCCAUAAAAGUUUCUCCAACCAUGCCACCCUCGUCUUCUUCACGUUCUACUUCAAUGGCCACCUCAUUGACUUCUUCCUCAGGCAGAGGUGGCGCAGGGGGACGGGGAGCAGCAGGAUUCGAUGACGACUGAGGAAGAAAUUGCCUAAUCUUAGAUACAUCAACGGCAAGGUCGAUCCCACAUUGAGGGCAGGAGAAGCGAGACAGGCCGUGAGGGACAUUGAGUAUAGCUUUGCAGUGAGCGCAGGGCAACUGGAUCUUGGUAGGAUCAAUUCCAUGAGCCAGGGCACUGCUUCGCUGCUGCUGAGGCAUGAGUUCCGGAGGUAGCAUCUGCGGCAAUUGACAAGUAGGGCAUAUAAACUCUGUCAGUCCGGGAGCGACUGUCAAAAUCAUCUUACAACCAGCACAUCGAACUUGACAACCUCCUCCACUAUCUGAACUACUCGCCGACGGUGGUGGUAGAGAUGGAAGAUUAACUGAAGGUGUCGGCACCGAUUGCUGUCCCAUAUUAUUACUAUAUGUAUUAACAAACGUUGAAAUCAAAAUGUACUGAAAUGUUGUGACUGAAUUCAGUAGUGACGAUGCGAGAACAGAAGUUUCCGUCAACUAAACAGCCGGCGGAGGAGGCCGGCGAUGUCCGGUGAGUUUUGGGUUGUCCUUAAUUCAUG